Molecule: ribosomal RNA, 540 nt
Filed under: Hylomyscus alleni (Allen's wood mouse)
Lineage: Eukaryota; Metazoa; Chordata; Mammalia; Rodentia; Muridae
Description: partial 16S ribosomal RNA
Rfam family: Bacterial large subunit ribosomal RNA
Source: RNAcentral
CACCUCUAGCAUUUCAAGUAUUAGAGGCAUUGCCUGCCCAGUGACUAUAGUUAAACGGCCGCGGUAUCCUGACCGUGCAAAGGUAGCAUAAUCAUUUGUUCCUUAAUUAGGGACUAGUAUGAACGGCUAAACGAGGGCUCAACUGUCUCUUAUUUUCAAUCAGUGAAAUUGACCUUCCAGUGAAGAGGCUGGAAUAUAAAAAUAAGACGAGAAGACCCUAUGGAGCUUAAAUUAAUAAGCUUAAUUAUUACCUUAGUCCCCUAAUGGAAUAAAACAAAUAAUAUAAGCUUAAAAUUUUGGUUGGGGUGACCUCGGAGAACAAAAAAUCCUCCGAAAGAUAUAUAACAUAGACCUACAAGUCAAAGUAUACCAAUUAUCCAAUUGACCCAAAAAUUGAUCAACGGACCAAGUUACCCUAGGGAUAACAGCGCAAUCCUAUUUAAGAGUCCAUAUCGACAAUAGGGUUUACGACCUCGAUGUUGGAUCAGGACAUCCCAAUGGUGCAGAAGCUAUUAAUGGUUCGUUUGUUCAACGAUUAAA